This is a long non-coding RNA of Phoenix dactylifera (date palm), 550 nucleotides long. RefSeq lists it as uncharacterized. NCBI's taxonomy places the organism in Eukaryota, Viridiplantae, Streptophyta, Magnoliopsida, Arecales, Arecaceae. The record is from RefSeq and is a predicted model, not a curated record.
AAAAAAAAAAAAAGAACAGUCCCAGCGUCCAUCACUAGGGUUUUGGCGUCUCCCACAUAAUCACCCGAUCAGUCUCUAGAUCUCUCCCUGCCCAUUCUCUCCCCUCAUCCAUGGCGAUUCCCGGCCCCUACUCCGGCGUCAGCACCCUCGCCUUCGUAGCUCGCGCAUCGGCGUUCGCCUUCGGCAUCGUCUACGGGAGCAUGAAGCUGUCCUACCUCCAGGCAAAGGCAAAAUCUCAUAAAAAAGCGGAGGCAAAAGGACACCAUUGAAUUGGAAAUACAUAUCUCUGUCUCUUGAUUCACAAGGACAUGAUUUGAGUGUUUACUUUGAUUGAUUGCGGCAUCAUGCUUGUUCCUCCUUUCUUUCCCAAGAAAACUGCAAGGAGGAUGGUUGACAUUUAUCCUGUUCUGAUAAAAGAGGAGUUGGUAUAUGCGAAUUUGAAAAAAAUAAAAAAGAAAGAUGACAAUUUUAAGUGUCUCUGUUAUGGAGCCAAUAUUUGUAGUUCCUUUCUUACUAUUGCCAGUGCACCUUCUCCCCUUAUUUUGACAUA